UUUUAUUGAAGCUUCGGCAGAUUUAGCUGGUUUCUAGUGGCGGACGGGUGAGUAACGCGUGGGUAACCUGCCUUAUACAGGGGGAUAACAACCAGAAAUGGUUGCUAAUACCGCAUAAGCGCACAGGACCGCAUGGUCCGGUGUGAAAAACUCCGGUGGUAUAAGAUGGACCCGCGUUGGAUUAGCUAGUUGGCGGGGUAACGGCCUACCAAGGCGACGAUCCAUAGCCGGCCUGAGAGGGUGAACGGCCACAUUGGGACUGAGACACGGCCCAGACUCCUACGGGAGGCAGCAGUGGGGAAUAUUGCACAAUGGGGGAAACCCUGAUGCAGCGACGCCGCGUGAAGGAAGAAGUAUCUCGGUAUGUAAACUUCUAUCAGCAGGGAAGAUAGUGACGGUACCUGACUAAGAAGCCCCGGCUAACUACGUGCCAGCAGCCGCGGUAAUACGUAGGGGGCAAGCGUUAUCCGGAUUUACUGGGUGUAAAGGGAGCGUAGAUGGACUGGCAAGUCUGAUGUGAAAGGCGGGGGCUCAACCCCUGGACUGCAUUGGAAACUGUUAGUCUUGAGUGCCGGAGAGGUAAGCGGAAUUCCUAGUGUAGCGGUGAAAUGCGUAGAUAUUAGGAGGAACACCAGUGGCGAAGGCGGCUUACUGGACGGUAACUGACGUUGAGGCUCGAAAGCGUGGGGAGCAAACAGG
This 699-nucleotide ribosomal RNA is filed under the name uncultured Lachnospiraceae bacterium. RNAcentral describes it as "bacterial SSU rRNA". It matches the Rfam family "Bacterial small subunit ribosomal RNA", at positions 62 to 776 of the family's 1533-position model. The record is from RNAcentral. Lineage: Bacteria; Bacillati; Bacillota; Clostridia; Lachnospirales; Lachnospiraceae.